This 101-nucleotide microRNA precursor is filed under the name Marmota monax (woodchuck). The record is from RNAcentral. Lineage: Eukaryota; Metazoa; Chordata; Mammalia; Rodentia; Sciuridae.
AUAAGAAUCAUCUAGGGAUCUUGUUAACAUGCAGAUUUUGAUUAAGUCUUGGGUAAGGCCUGAGAUCCUGCAUUUCUAACGAGCUCCCAGGAGAUAUGGAA